UUUUGUGGAAUAGCAUUGGACUUAUCCUGGAGACUGUUCAUGGGCACUGAGAAGAAUGCAUUUUCUGCCAUUCGUUGGGGAGAAGAGAAGGCCCAGGACUAAUACCUGGGAACCCUCCAACAUUUAGAAUUUGUGAAGAGGAGAAAGAAUUGACAAAGGAGGUUAGAAGGAGUGGCCAGUGAAGGAGAAGGAAAAUCCAGAGUGUGGCUGUCCAGCUAAGUGAAGAAAUCCCCCAGGGAAAUGAGAAUUUGCAUGAAGACUGGCUUAAACGGAACCCAGUGGACUUGUCAUCUUCAGUGCCUCAGAGACUAGUGGAUGGCCUUGGAAACACCUGGCUUUAACCCAAUAGUACCAAGCCAUCAUUUUGAUAGACCCUUGGGACAAUUUCUCCCACCUGGAGAAGGAAUCUCAGAACUAAAGCCAAACUAUUUUAGAGGGAAGGCGGGGAGAAGGCUGGAGAAUCGGUUUUGGGAAAGGGCAUGAAGUAGGGCAGUUCUGGAAAGCACGACAGCAGGAAUGACCGGGCUGACCUUGCAAUUCCUAGGCAUAUAGAAGGUAGAUCUGAUGACUAGAUAACUAAAAAGAAGCUAUAAAAAAGGAAAAGAACACUUCCUACAAACUGAUAAAGAGAGAUCUCCAAGAUGAUUUAAAUGAAAAGAGUAAAUUGCAGAACAGUGUGAAUAAAUAUGCUAUCUUUUCUGUAAAAGGUUGGGAAAAUCAUCCUAUAUAA
Long non-coding RNA from Myotis daubentonii (Daubenton's bat), 730 nucleotides. RefSeq lists it as uncharacterized. The record is from RefSeq and is a predicted model, not a curated record. Lineage: Eukaryota; Metazoa; Chordata; Mammalia; Chiroptera; Vespertilionidae.